This is an RNA transcript of Zea mays, 1846 nucleotides long. RefSeq lists it as uncharacterized. The record is from RefSeq and is marked provisional. NCBI's taxonomy places the organism in Eukaryota, Viridiplantae, Streptophyta, Magnoliopsida, Poales, Poaceae. The transcript has 9 exons.
ACUAUUUACAUUCUAGAUGUUGUAUAUAUUAUAUGUUUUUUGUACGGUACACUUGCAUUCGUUCCUAUUUCACUCUCCCUCUCACUGGUUUUUUCGAAUAUUUUGUACGUGGUUGCAAAUUAAAUUAAGAGCAACUACCUACUAAUCUAUAGUUAUUUUGGCAGAAUUGAAUGUAGUAGCCUCGUAGGGCCAACAUGACCGAACUCAAAAUGUGCAGCCCACCUCCAAUCCCGUAGAAGAUAGUGCUGCCCUGCCGAAUGCCGCCCACCUCCAAUCCCGUAGAAGACAAAGAGAGAGGGAGAGAACUGGACGGCGGCGGCGGCGGAGACGACGAUGCAGUGGUACUUGGUGGCCGCGCUCCUCACCAUCCUCACCAGCUCCCAGGGAAUAUUGACCACCCUUUCCCAGAGCAAUGGCAAAUACAAUUAUGAUUAUGCCACAAUUCCUUUUUUAGCUGAGCUCUUCAAGUUAUCUGUCUCAGGCUUCUUCCUCUGGAAGGAAUGCCAUUCUUCAUCUCCACCAAGGAUGACAAAGGAAUGGAGGAGCGUGCGACUAUAUGUUGUUCCUUCAGUUAUAUACCUCAUCCACAACAAUGUCCAGUUUGCGACAUUGACCUAUGUUGACCCAUCUACCUAUCAGAUAAUGGGAAACUUGAAAAUUGUCACGACUGGGAUUUUGUUUAGGCUUGUCCUAAAAAGGAAGUUGUCCAAUAUACAAUGGAUGGCAAUUGUUUUAUUGGCUGUUGGUACAACUACAAGCCAGGUUAAAGGAUGUGGAGAUUCACCAUGUGAUUCUCUUUUCUCAGCACCAUUGGAGGGUUACUUGCUUGGAAUACUUUCUGCUUGUCUUUCAGCUCUAGCUGGUGUGUACACAGAAUAUUUGAUGAAGAAGAAUAAUGAUAGUUUGUACUGGCAAAAUGUACAAUUAUAUACGUUUGGAGUUAUCUUUAACAUGGGCUGGCUAAUUUAUGGCGAUUUUAAAGCUGGAUUUGAGCUAGGUCCAUGGUGGCAGCGCCUUUUUAAUGGUUAUUCGAUCACAACAUGGAUGGUAGUGUUCAAUUUAGGAUCUACUGGUCUUCUAGUAUCAUGGUUGAUGAAAUAUUCUGACAAUAUAGUCAAGGUGUACUCAACUUCAAUGGCAAUGCUUUUAACGAUGGUUUUAUCUAUAUAUCUUUUCAGUGUGAAAGCUACAAUUCAGCUCUUCUUGGGCAUUAUCAUUUGUAUAAUUUCCCUGCAGAUGUAUUUUAUGCCUGUGCACAUGCUUAUUGAGUUGCCACAAACUUUGCCUGUAACAUCAAAGUAGGUUCAUGGCAUUGUUAGCUAACCCAUUGAUCAGCUGAGGGUAGGGCACUGUUGAUUGAGUGGUUAAUUGACUAUCUGCAGCCCAGCUCUAUUUGAGUCAUAUAUUUGGAGAUUUAUGGUUGUAAUCUCAACAGCUAUGGAUAUAGACAGCUAGGUUAGUUUCAUGUUGCAGGAAAGGUGAAUCAACUGUCAAGUGAGCAUGUAAUGCCAAUACAAAUGGAUUGAAAGUUAACACCUACAUGCCUUCCAAUUUUUAUCCAGUUUUGCAUUAAUGGAGUCGAUAUGGAACUGACAAGUACAAUGAGUUAUGGCUUCAUUACAAAAAAGUACACAAUUUUGCUCCUGCGGCAGCAGUCUUGUCUUUUCAGGAAAUUCAAACAGGACAAAGUGUUCAUUGAGCAGAUCCUCAGGUGUACUGAUUUUUUUUUAUCAUCAUCAGUUAGAAAUGGCUGUACAUUCUAGCAUAUGUUAUUUAUUUUAGUUAAAAGAAAGCGCAACACUGUUACUGUGAUUAAUUUCAUGAAAAUCAUAGCAUCGUUAAAUUA